RNAcentral lists this ribosomal RNA (301 nucleotides) under uncultured bacterium. RNAcentral describes it as "partial 16S ribosomal RNA". It matches the Rfam family "Bacterial small subunit ribosomal RNA", at positions 509 to 808 of the family's 1533-position model. The record is from RNAcentral.
CAGUCGCCGCGGUAAGACAGAGGAUGCAAGCGUUAUCCGGAAUGAUUGGGCGUAAAGCGUCUGUAGGUGGCUUUUCAAGUCCGCCGUCAAAUCCCAGGGCUCAACCCUGGACAGGCGGUGGAAACUACCAAGCUGGAGUACGGUAGGGGCAGAGGGAAUUUCCAGUGGAGCGGUGAAAUGCGUUGAGAUCGAAAAGAACACCAACAGCGAAAGCACUCUGCUGGGACGACACUGACACUAAGAGACGAAAGCUAGGGGAGCAAAUGGGAUUAGAUACCCGUGUAGUCCCUGUCUCUUAUCC